RNAcentral lists this ribosomal RNA (890 nucleotides) under Arthrobacter sp. Its description in RNAcentral is "bacterial SSU rRNA". It matches the Rfam family "Bacterial small subunit ribosomal RNA", at positions 35 to 1390 of the family's 1533-position model. The record is from RNAcentral. Lineage: Bacteria; Bacillati; Actinomycetota; Actinomycetes; Micrococcales; Micrococcaceae.
GAUUGGGCGGGGUGCUUACCUGCAAGUCGAACGAUGAUCCGGUGCUUGCACCGGGGAUUAGUGGCGAACGGGUGAGUAACACGUGAGUAACCUGCCCUUAACUCUGGGAUAAGCCUGGGAAACUGGGUCUAAUACCGGAUAUGACUCCUCAUCGCAUGGUGGGGGGUGGAAAGCUUUUGUGGUUUUGGAUGGACUCGCGGCCUAUCAGCUUGUUGGUGAGGUAAUGGCUCACCAAGGCGACGACGGGUAGCCGGCCUGAGAGGGUGACCGGCCACACUGGGACUGAGACACGGCCCAGACUCCUACGGGAGGCAGCAGUGGGGAAUAUUGCACAAUGGGCGGAAGCCUGAUGCAGCGACGCCGCGUGAGGGAUGACGGCCUUCGGGUUGUAAACCUCUUUCAGUAGGGAAGAAGCGAAAGUGACGGUACCUGCAGAAGAAGCGCCGGCUAACUACGUGCCAGCAGCCGCGGUAAUACGUAGGGCGCAAGCGUUAUCCGGAAUUAUUGGGCGUAAAGAGCUCGUAGGCGGUUUGUCGCGUCUGCCGUGAAAGUCCGGGGCUCAACUCCGGAUCUGCGGUGGGUACGGGCAGACUAGAGUGAUGUAGGGGAGACUGGAAUUCCUGGUGUAGCGGUGAAAUGCGCAGAUAUCAGGAGGAACACCGAUGGCGAAGGCAGGUCUCUGGGCAUUAACUGACGCUGAGGAGCGAAAGCAUGGGGAGCGAACAGGAUUAGAUACCCUGGUAGUCCAUGCCGUAAACGUUGGGCACUAGGUGUGGGGGACAUUCCACGUUUUCCGCGCCGUAGCUAACGCAUUAAGUGCCCGCCUGGGGAGUACGGACCGCAAGGCUAAAAACUCAAAGGAAAUUGACGGGGGGGGCCCCCGCCCACCC